GUCGAGCGGAAAGGCCCCUUCGGGGGUACUCGAGCGGCGAACGGGUGAGUAACACGUGAGCAACCUGCCCCUGACUCUGGGAUAAGCCCGGGAAACUGGGUCUAAUACCGGAUAUAACCACUGGUCGCAUGGUCUGGUGGUGGAAAGUUUUUCGGUUGGGGAUGGGCUCGCGGCCUAUCAGCUUGUUGGUGGGGUGAUGGCCUACCAAGGCGACGACGGGUAACCGGCCUGAGAGGGCGACCGGCUAUACUGGGACUGAGACACGGCCCAGACUCCUACGGGAGGCAGCAGUGGGGAAUAUUGCGCAAUGGGCGGAAGCCUGACGCAGCGACGCCGCGUGGGGGAUGACGGCCUUCGGGUUGUAAACCUCUUUCAGCAGGGACGAAGCGAAAGUGACGGUACCUGCAGAAGAAGCGCCGGCUAACUACGUGCCAGCGGCCGCGGUAAUUCA
Molecule: ribosomal RNA, 451 nt
Filed under: Actinomadura sp. EXM-7-1
Lineage: Bacteria; Bacillati; Actinomycetota; Actinomycetes; Streptosporangiales; Thermomonosporaceae
Description: bacterial SSU rRNA
Rfam family: Bacterial small subunit ribosomal RNA
Source: RNAcentral